GGCCCCUUAGCUCAGCUGGAUAGAGCAGGUGACUUCUAAUCAUCAGGUCGGGGGUUCGAAUCCUCCAGGGGUCG
RNAcentral lists this transfer RNA (74 nucleotides) under Pontivivens insulae. It matches the Rfam family "tRNA". Rfam says of the family: Transfer RNA (tRNA) molecules are approximately 80 nucleotides in length. RNAcentral also lists the same sequence under 3 other names. The record is from Rfam by way of RNAcentral. Lineage: Bacteria; Pseudomonadati; Pseudomonadota; Alphaproteobacteria; Rhodobacterales; Paracoccaceae.